Molecule: ribosomal RNA, 465 nt
Filed under: uncultured bacterium
Lineage: Bacteria
Description: partial 16S ribosomal RNA
Rfam family: Bacterial small subunit ribosomal RNA
Source: RNAcentral
CCUACGGGAGGCAGCAGUGGGGAAUAUUGCGCAAUGGGCGAAAGCCUGACGCAGCGACGCCGCGUGAGGGAUGAAGGUCUUCGGAUCGUAAACCUCUGUCAGCAGGGAAGAACGGUCACUGUGCUAAUCAGCAGUGACUUGACGGUACCUGCAAAGGAAGCACCGGCUAACUCCGUGCCAGCAGCCGCGGUAAUACGGAGGGUGCGAGCGUUAAGCGGAAUUACUGGGCGUAAAGCGCUCGUAGGCGGUAUGUCAAGUCAAGGGUGAAAUCCCCGCGCGCAACGUGGGAACUGCCUUUGAAACUGGCAAACUGGAGUGUGUGAGAGGAUGGUGGAAUUCCAGGUGUAGGAGUGAAAUCCGUAGAUAUCUGGAGGAACAUCAGUGGCGAAGGCGACUAUCUGGCACAUAACUGACGCUGAGGAGCGAAAGCGUGGGUAGCAAACAGGAUUAGAUACCCGGGUAGUC